GAGUUUGAUUCGGCUCAGGAUGAACGCUGGCGGCGUGCUUAACACAUGCAAGUCGAACGCACCUUCGGGUAGUGGCGGACGGGUGAGUAACGCGUGGGAACCUGCCCUCAGGAGGGGGAUAACGGCUGGAACGGCCGCUAAUACCCCAUAUGCCGAGAGGUGAAACGAAUUUCGCCUGAGGAUGGGCCGCGUCUGAUUAGCUAGUUGGUGGGGUAAAGGCCUACCAAGGCGACGAUCAGUAGCUGGUUGAGAGGACGAUCAGCCACACUGGGACUGAGACACGGCCCAGACUCCUACGGGAGGCAGAGUGGGGAAUUUUGGACAAUGGGGGCAACCCUGAUCCAGCAAUGCCGCGUGAGUGAAGAGGCCUUCGGGUUGUAAACUGCUUUUGUACGGAACGAAAAGGUUUCUAUUAAUACUAGGACUCAUGACGGUACCGUAAGAAUAAGCACCGGCUAACUCUGUGCCAGCAGCCGCGGUAAU
Molecule: ribosomal RNA, 483 nt
Filed under: uncultured Chroococcales cyanobacterium
Lineage: Bacteria; Bacillati; Cyanobacteriota; Cyanophyceae; Chroococcales
Description: bacterial SSU rRNA
Rfam family: Bacterial small subunit ribosomal RNA
Source: RNAcentral